Bufo bufo (common toad) is the source of this 543-nucleotide long non-coding RNA. RefSeq lists it as uncharacterized. The record is from RefSeq and is a predicted model, not a curated record. The transcript is spliced from 4 exons. NCBI's taxonomy places the organism in Eukaryota, Metazoa, Chordata, Amphibia, Anura, Bufonidae.
CUACCACUGCUGUCCUCUAAGUUAUAAGUAGUAUCUAAAUGUGACACCGUCAUGCCCGUACUUGUACUUCUAGAGGAGUGUCUGCGAUGUUGAUGUCUGUGUAGUGGUAAAUACUUGAUGGCUGUCCUGAUCCUCCAGUCUGGUGGAAGCAGUCAGGCUGUUUUCCCCAGGCUGGCAGCACAUUUUCCAACUAUACAGUCUGACCGCUUCCACCGGAUUGGAGGAUCGAGACAACUAUCAAGUAUUUACCACUACACAUCAGCAUCGCGGACUCUCCUCUAGAAGUACAGGUUGUGCCACAGAAAGAAAACAUUUUCAACUGAAGGAACUUUGUUAUUAGAAGUGUUCCCAUCCCAUCAAAUAUCCUGACAUGAAGCCUGUCACAUACAAAUGGAGUAGAUAAGUGCAGCCAGUAUGGGUAUCCAAAUGAUGCAGAAAAUGAUCAUGCACCAUCCCAGGGCGACUCCCCAGAUGGGAUAUUCAACAUUGCCAUGCUUUGGAGAAGAGAAUGUGACCAGGGACCAGAUCAGAAUAGCCUGUAAA